Molecule: non-coding RNA, 27 nt
Filed under: Mus musculus (house mouse)
Lineage: Eukaryota; Metazoa; Chordata; Mammalia; Rodentia; Muridae
Source: RNAcentral
UCAUGAAAUUUGUUGUUCUGCCUCCCA